UUCAGCGUCUAUUGAAAAUAGACACAUUGGAGUCUGAGAUUUUUUUGCAUGUUGUAUUAAAGAUAUUGUUUUUGCUAUAUUGUCCUUUGCUUCUCUUUUAGGAAUGAAUCCUGCUUGGUCAUUGUGUAUCAACUGCGAGAGCUUACUUGGACUCACAAUCUGCACUGAUCCUGCACUAGAUGUUCUGAGAGCUCUGGCUUCUGCCCUUCUGACUCAACGAAAGACUUCUGCACUGAUCCUGCACUACAUUUGAAUGAGAUUGCAUUGGUGCUCCUGUUGGAGUUACUCUUGGACAAGAUAAAGUGUAGAAAUUCAUUCAUGCCUUUUGCUUUUGUAUACCUGACAUUCUCAUUGUGCUGUAUUGCAUUCAUCAGAUUGUGGCUGUGUUUUCUGAGCUGGCUUUUUGUGACUCGCAUCACUGGUGCAGGUUGGGUGCUUGUCCUACAAUGGAAUCAUUUUGCGGGUUAGGGUCGGGUACGGGUUAUGGUUUGUGGGUUAGAGUCGGGUACGGGUUAUUGGCAAGGUCAGACUGGCCGAGUGGUCCGUUCACGCAUGCACGGCUUUGCAGUAGGGGGGGGGCCUGGACAGAAGUCACAGUGGGCCCCCUAGCCCUCCAGUCCGACCCUGGUUAUGGGUUUGCAGGUUAGGGUCGGUGCGGGUUGAGUUUUUCCUGAUCCAUACAUCACUAGCACUGCUCCCUAUACACAGGUCUCUUGUGCCUUCCCCUAGCUCCAGCCCUGCUCCCCUGCACAGCUUGGGAAAACAACCAGUAUCAAGUGGAACAUAUUGGUGGGACUAGCAGGGUUUGGGGGGAGGGAAUUAUUAAAAAAGAAUCUCUAAACACUA
Long non-coding RNA from Xenopus laevis (African clawed frog), 846 nucleotides. RefSeq lists it as uncharacterized. NCBI's taxonomy places the organism in Eukaryota, Metazoa, Chordata, Amphibia, Anura, Pipidae. The transcript is spliced from 2 exons. The record is from RefSeq and is a predicted model, not a curated record.